RNAcentral lists this ribosomal RNA (724 nucleotides) under Salmonella enterica. RNAcentral describes it as "partial 23S ribosomal RNA". It matches the Rfam family "Bacterial large subunit ribosomal RNA", at positions 711 to 1350 of the family's 2925-position model. The record is from RNAcentral. RNAcentral also lists the same sequence under 2 other names. Lineage: Bacteria; Pseudomonadati; Pseudomonadota; Gammaproteobacteria; Enterobacterales; Enterobacteriaceae.
AGACCCGAAACCCGGUGAUCUAGCCAUGGGCAGGUUGAAGGUUGGGUAACACUAACUGGAGGACCGAACCGACUAAUGUUGAAAAAUUAGCGGAUGACCUGUGGCUGGGGGUGAAAGGCCAAUCAAACCGGGAGAUAGCUGGUUCUCCCCGAAAGCUAUUUAGGUAGCGCCUCGUGAAUUCAUCUCCGGGGGUAGAGCACUGUUUCGGCUAGGGGGCCAUCCCGGCUUACCAACCCGAUGCAAACUGCGAAUACCGGAGAAUGUUAUCACGGGAGACACACGGCGGGUGCUAACGUCCGUCGUGAAGAGGGAAACAACCCAGACCGCCAGCUAAGGUCCCAAAGUCAUGGUUAAGUGGGAAACGAUGUGGGAAGGCCCAGACAGCCAGGAUGUUGGCUUAGAAGCAGCCAUCAUUUAAAGAAAGCGUAAUAGCUCACUGGUCGAGUCGGCCUGCGCGGAAGAUGUAACGGGGCUAAACCAUGCACCGAAGCUGCGGCAGCGAACGUAUCACUUAAAGCGAUUCAGCGGGUUACGAUUGACGGAGCGAAGCGACGUCAAAGCGUAUACAAAGUCGAGUCGGUUUAAGGAUACGUUCGUUGGGUAGGGGAGCGUUCUGUAAGCCUGUGAAGGUGGCCUGUGAGGGUUGCUGGAGGUAUCAGAAGUGCGAAUGCUGACAUAAGUAACGAUAAAGCGGGUGAAAAGCCCGCUCGCCGGAAGACCAAGG